CCUACGGGGGGCAGCAGUGGGGAAUAUUGGGCAAUGGGCGCAAGCCUGACCCAGCAACGCCGCGUGAAGGAAGAAGGCUUUCGGGUUGUAAACUUCUUUUGUCAGGGACGAAGCAAGUGACGGUCCCUGACGAAUAAGCCACGGCUAACUACGUGCCAGCAGCCGCGGUAAUACGUAGGUGGCAAGCGUUAUCCGGAUUUACUGGGUGUAAAGGGCGUGUAGGCGGGACUGCAAGUCAGAUGUGAAAACCACGGGCUCAACCUGUGGCCUGCAUUGUGAACUGUAGUUCUUGAGUACUGGAGAGGCAGACGGAAUUACUAGUGUAGCGGUGAAAUGCGUAGAUAUUAGGAGGAACACCAGUGGCGAAGGUGGUCUGCUGGACAGCAACUGACGCUGAGGCGCGAAAGCGUGGGGAGCAAACAGGAUUAGAUACCCGGGUAGUC
RNAcentral lists this ribosomal RNA (443 nucleotides) under uncultured bacterium. RNAcentral's name for it is "partial 16S ribosomal RNA". It matches the Rfam family "Bacterial small subunit ribosomal RNA", at positions 338 to 795 of the family's 1533-position model. The record is from RNAcentral.